UGCAGCUGGAGUGGGGAGAGAAUUUGGUCACUUUUUGGUUUGCUCAAAUUACCUUUGCAAGUGGUGCCUGCAUCAGAAGGGCUCUGAACCAGACAGGUGAUAGUCCUUUCUCCCCAGAAUAUACAGGUGCUGAACUCCAUGGAGAACUCCCUGGCUGUCAGCUGGGAUCCAGUGACUGAUGUGAAUAAUUACCUCCUGACUAUCCAGCUGGGUAUGAAUGUUGGUGAAACAAAUCCAUGUGCCCAAAGAGCAGCUCAGCUAUGAGAUUGCAUCCUGGCACCAUGCAAUCUCACAAUGUCACACUUCCAUCACAUGUGAAAGGGAUUGCCACUGAGCCCAAGCAUCUAGAAGCCAGUACAGGUAGGAGCAGGUAAUAUCAUUUGAAGAGUCAGAUGUUUUAAAUCUUUAAAGUUAGAUUUCAGGGAAAGCACUUUCUCUUCCCAGCCUAGAGUUAUGUCAUUGUUUUUCAUGUCAUUCUCUGGAGAAUCUGUUCCCAGAUUUGGAUCAUUGGGGCUGAAUGUAUUGCAUAUUUCAUCUGUUUCCAUUUUUCAUGUCCAAAUCCUACAUGUGUUGACACCUAUGAAUUCUAGGGAAUUUGUAGUGCUGCCUGCUGCAAGAAGCAGGAAUGGAAGCAUGCAGGAUAAAGACAGCAUGUUACUACGAAUAAUGCAGAAAGAACUUUAAAGUAGGCAGGAUGUCAUUCCUAGGUACUUACUGUCCAAAAAUGUCUGCAGCAUUUCUAUUUCUCCUCAUAGGCUCUUCCCAGGAGUGAAUGAGCAUGAUCCUGCUGAGGCUAAGAGGUUGAGUAUGCAAAAGCUGUGCAUUUGAAGCAGCCUCUUGAGAGCUGAAAUGUUCUUUGGUUAGCAGCUGAUACUAUGCUAUCUGCUUGUACUGGGCCAAGACAGUGAAAGCUUGGUGAUUUUGGCAUUUUUCCUGCUUCCAGCACAGCAGGUGGGAACUGAGAGCCAGCAAACACCAGAGCUGGACUGUUACCAUGGAUAAAACUAAACCUGUUGAAGUAACUGUUGUGCUGUCCUUGCUUGACUCCUCAGUUUGGCUAAGGAAAAUGUUAGAGCAGGAAUCUGGGCAGGGAAGGAGCAUUGUUUAGUGACUUUUCUGUCUUCUAUUUACCAUUUUGUGCUUUUGCUGCUUCCCUACAUCUCUCUGCUGUGUUUCCCAGUGUGGUCUGCAGCCAAUGCCAUCUGAGUGACAGAGGAGGUGGAGUACUCCUUGCAAGUGGGGUGGGAGAGCCCUAAACCAGAUGUGCAUUAUUACAAGCUGAAGUUCAGAUCCGUGGUGGAGAUGGAUGAGAAGCAGGUCAUGGUGCCCAAAAGCAGUGACCCUAAGAGCAGAUACAUCCUCACUGGUGAGGAUUCGUGGGUGAAGUGGCAGGAAUGAAUGAUUAACAAUCAGACUUAAAUAAAGACAAUUCUUUUCUCAUGUGUGAAUGUCCAGUGAGAUCUGUUUGGGCUCCCCUGUCACAUAAGGAGCGGUGUCUCCCCAGGGAGAAAGCUAUGCUUUCUCGAUAGCAAGUUUCCAGGCAUAUUCAUGCACUUAAUUCUGUCCUUGUUAGGAAAAAAGGGCAUUCAUAAUAUCAGCAAAAGACCUGAAAAUCCCCACCUGCAGCAGUCCAUGUGCCUGCCCUAAGGGCAAGCCUAGAUGAAAGCACUGAAAAGACAAAAAGCAAGUUGGAUAGAAAUCUAAACUUUAAGUUCCCCUCUAUGACAAACCUGGAGCUGGAUAAACUAAACAAAACAGCUUUCUUCAAGAAAAAAUGCCAUCUUCCCUAAUUGUUGGUAGUGCUUUUUCUCUUUAUAGGCCUCGAACCUGGAACAGACAUGAUGCCACUGUCAUACCUGUGAAAGACAACACAGAAAGGAAACCAUCCUCAGUGACUGGCAGGACUGCUAUGUGGAAAGUUGCUUUUGCUACAGUGAUGUUAUUACAGGGUUUGGGGACAGAUCUUUCAAAAUUCCAACACAAAAGGUUCAUAAUUGACUGCUUCUUCAUUCAUGACCUGCAGCUAGGUCUGCUUAUACCUUAUUUGAGCUUGCCUGCAUUCCAUAUUAAACACUAAACACUAAACAACCCUAGGCCUAGCUCAGUGUUUUACUUUUUUACAGUAACUUCACCCUUAACUUGACUUAUAGCUCCAUCCAGACACGGCUACAUGUAGUGAGUUAGCCUCUGUAUGGAAUAACAACUCUGUUGGCUAAUUGACUGUCUUAAAGAAAAAUGGCAAAAUAUUUUUUAGCUACUCUCUUGCAAAAGAGACCUUGAAGAAUUUUAAACUCUCAUUCUACUUACAAGAUUAUGGAAUUUCUGAAAUUCAUCUCUUACAAAAGGGCAGGCAUUCUGCUUCCAAAGACUGAAAAAUUCCAUAUCAGGCCUGACAUUCCUGAGGUUGUUGUGUAAAUUACUCCAUUAAAACAAAAUUUUUAAAAAACAACAGAACCUACAACCUCCACAUUGUCAUUUUAAUGUAGACUUUGUAGACUUUGAUUUUUUGGAACACAUUUGACUUGUGUUUUCAAGCUGUUCUUGACAGACAUGGGGGAUGCAAAGGUUCUUAAAAAAGGAAAAUAAUAACCCCCAUGCUCAUAUUCUUAUGUAACCCCUGGAAUUUAGGAGAUGCAAAUAAGCAAAUACCAGCUACUUUAAGAGCUGCCACCAAGCUCUGAUUCAUCAGCUAAAAUAGCAAAACCUGAGGGAGUCUGAGACAGGUCUGCAGGAAAGGCAGAAAGGGAGGAGCAGCAGAUGGCUGGCAGUGGAGGCAGAGAAAGGGUAGACACUGUACUUGGAGCUGGGAGGGGGAAAGCCAGAAGGUUGGUGCCAAAAUGAUUUUUGCUUUUAUAUAUUCUUCAUUUAUUUGUAGCUCUGUAGAUUAUUGCUGUAUAGUAACAGCUCCUGGCUCCCUGCAGCAUUUUUCCUACUCCAACAGACAGACAAAAUUCCAGAGGCCUCAAUCCUAAUCUUGCUUCCUCUGGGAACCAAGGAUGAGCUAUUCUCCCAAAACACUUUCCUAUAAACAACUGGAAGAAGAGGGGCUCCAGGAGAGUUUGAGCCAAGGGGGUGAACUGCGUUAUCACCUGUGUUUCUAGUUGGUGUUUCUUGUAAUUAUGCUAAUUUACUAAACUUGCAAAACUAUAUUCACCCUUUGUGAGGUGGGCAUUUUUCCAUACUUGGCCCUGGGGGUCUCCAAUUAAAGACCAGCUUUUAUGUUGCCUCCUAUAUUAA
Serinus canaria (Common canary) is the source of this 3237-nucleotide long non-coding RNA. RefSeq lists it as uncharacterized. NCBI's taxonomy places the organism in Eukaryota, Metazoa, Chordata, Aves, Passeriformes, Fringillidae. The transcript is spliced from 2 exons. The record is from RefSeq and is a predicted model, not a curated record.